GGGGCUGUUGCUCAGUGGUAGAGUGCUUGCCUUGCACGUGCAAGACCCUGGGUUCGAUUCUCAGCACCACA
This 71-nucleotide transfer RNA is filed under the name Marmota monax (woodchuck). RNAcentral's name for it is "tRNA.Ala". It matches the Rfam family "tRNA". Rfam says of the family: Transfer RNA (tRNA) molecules are approximately 80 nucleotides in length. Their secondary structure includes four short double-helical elements and three loops (D, anti-codon, and T loops). The record is from RNAcentral. Lineage: Eukaryota; Metazoa; Chordata; Mammalia; Rodentia; Sciuridae.